This 486-nucleotide unclassified non-coding RNA is filed under the name Hevea brasiliensis (rubber tree). Lineage: Eukaryota; Viridiplantae; Streptophyta; Magnoliopsida; Malpighiales; Euphorbiaceae. The record is from RNAcentral.
AUUUGACAAUCAUUUUACAAAGUAUAUUCAUAAAGAUUUCUAACUUAUGGGUUGUGUUUUGUGCAAGUUCUGUGAGUAAUGCAUCCUCAAAGUAGAUGCGUAGAUGCAGUGAUAUUUUGCGAGUGAAAUUGGAUAUUUUCAUACCAUGAGUUGCAUGGUUGUUGCAUAUAUCCUUUGCUUCAUCAAGGCAUUGUGCUCUAAAACUAGAAAUAAUAUUAACUCUCCAUGCUUGUUUAUAUACUGCAUGUAAUUUUCUAACUGACAGUGUAAAUGACUGAAGAAGCAUGCUUGCAAAGUUUUCAGACGGUACUUAAGUUCUCAUAUACAGAAAAGUUUCCUUGAAUCAUGCCAAGGCAGUGGAGCAUUCUGAUUUUGUUUAUGCUUUGUUUAUUAUUUCAUCGACAAAAAAAUGCACAUACUUGUAUAUUCUGGUAUUCUACUUUGCAAUUUAUUCUCUGUUAACGUUUUGCUAAAUGCUUAAACAGG